RNAcentral lists this ribosomal RNA (406 nucleotides) under uncultured bacterium. RNAcentral describes it as "partial 16S ribosomal RNA". It matches the Rfam family "Bacterial small subunit ribosomal RNA", at positions 30 to 526 of the family's 1533-position model. The record is from RNAcentral.
AUUGAACGCUGGCGGCAGGCCUAACACAUGCAAGUCGAACGAGUGGCGGACGGGUGAGUAAUGUCUGGGAAACUGCCUGAUGGAGGGGGAUAACUACUGGAAACGGUAGCUAAUACCGCAUACCAUCGGAUGUGCCCAGAUGGGAUUAGCGAGUAGGUGGGGUAACGGCGCACCUGGGAGACGAUCCCUAGCUGGUCUGAGAGGAUGACCAGCCACACUGGAACGGUGACAUGGUCCAGACUCGUACGGUAGGCAGCAGUGGGGAAUAUUGCACAAUUGUCGCAAGCCUGAUGCAGCCAUGCCGCGUGUAUGAAGAAGGCCUUCGGGUUGUAAAGUACUUUCAGCGGGGAGGCGUUACCCGAAGAAGAAGCACCGGCUAACUCCGUGCCAGCCGCCGCGGUAAUAC